CCUCAUGCAAUAGUGGUGCCACUACAACAGAAUUAGGUUAUAGGGACACAUGUUUGGGACACUUUUGAGUAAGUGUCCUAUUUAUACUAAAACUUAAAAACACAUCUACUAAUGCCUAAAUAUAAAGCCCAAUCCAACUAAAAAUAAAAGAUUACUCUACUCAACCCACCACACCCAGUCCAUUUGGCCCGAUUACAAACAGAAAAGAAAAAAAAAAAGAAAAAUCAAUUACCAUCUUUUCUUCUCUCUUCACUCAAUCUACUGAAAUUCUAGACGAAGAGCCUUUACUGUCGUCCUUCUCCGCCACCGCAGCCAACGAGAUAGAGUUUCGGCGGUUGCUAAAUGCUCAAAUAAGUGUUGGUAAAUUAGCAACACUCUUUUAGGUUAUAGUGACACUCUUUAACUGUCACUAUAUACCUAGCGACCCCACAUAUAGCAACACUUUUUAAAAGUGUCGGUAAUUUUAGCUAGCAGCACUUUUUUGACAUGUACCUACAUUUAAAAGUGUCGCUAUAGACCGUUUUUGUUGUAGUGUGCUUCUCUGACUUGUCCCUAAUUGAAGAACAUUUUGAUUUCUUUUUAUUGCAGUGGAAUUA
RNAcentral lists this long non-coding RNA (596 nucleotides) under Ananas comosus (pineapple). Its description in RNAcentral is "long non-coding RNA (ACOM_LNC022944)". The record is from RNAcentral. Lineage: Eukaryota; Viridiplantae; Streptophyta; Magnoliopsida; Poales; Bromeliaceae.